GAAGCGUAGUAAUGCGUGAAGCUAACUCGUACUAAUUGGCUGAUUGUCUUGACCAUAUAACCUGAAUGACUUCGGGU
Molecule: ribosomal RNA, 77 nt
Filed under: Legionella spiritensis
Lineage: Bacteria; Pseudomonadati; Pseudomonadota; Gammaproteobacteria; Legionellales; Legionellaceae
Description: partial 23S ribosomal RNA
Source: RNAcentral